This 78-nucleotide transfer RNA is filed under the name Deinococcus malanensis. RNAcentral describes it as "tRNA-Pro". It matches the Rfam family "tRNA". Rfam says of the family: Transfer RNA (tRNA) molecules are approximately 80 nucleotides in length. Their secondary structure includes four short double-helical elements and three loops (D, anti-codon, and T loops). Lineage: Bacteria; Thermotogati; Deinococcota; Deinococci; Deinococcales; Deinococcaceae. The record is from RNAcentral.
CAGGAAGUAGCUCAGUCCGCGCAGAGCACUCGCUUUGGGAGUGAGGGGCCGCAGGUUCGAAUCCUGUCUUCCUGACCA